This 324-nucleotide ribosomal RNA is filed under the name Triticum aestivum (bread wheat). RNAcentral describes it as "partial small subunit ribosomal RNA". The record is from RNAcentral. Lineage: Eukaryota; Viridiplantae; Streptophyta; Magnoliopsida; Poales; Poaceae.
AUGGAAUGUACUUGCCGCUUUACGGCGGUCAGCUCAUCUACCACCGGUUUAAGGGCAGCUUCAGCGUUUUCAGCUCUUUUUAUUAAAGCGGCCUUCUCAGUGGCCCAAUCAGUCCGCUCCUUCUUGAAGCCCUCCUUCAGCUAUUCUGUGAUGCUCAAAGCGCUGGUUAAUUCUUCCUUUGCCUUGUCGGUUUCAGCUUGUUGGGUUUUCAAAGUUUCCUGCAGAUCAGUAAUCCGGUCCUCUUUGAUCCUCACUUCAGCCUGUAUAAAGACAGUGCUUGGCUUUAAGCAAACGGUACAAGAAUUUGAAGUAUCAACAACAUAA